CCCCGGCGCCACAAGUGGUCAUCGCGAUUAUUGGGCCUAAAGCGUUCGUAGCCGGUCUGGUGAAUCUCUUGUGAAAUUGUUCGGCUUAACCGGACAGCGUGCAGGAGACACUGCCAGACUCGAGACCGGGAGGCGUAAGGAGUAUUCCAUGGGGACUGGUAAAAUGGGAUAAUCCAUGGAAGACUACCGAUGGCGAAGGCAUCUUACGAGAACGGAUCUGACGGUGAGGAACGAAAGCCAGGGGAGCGAACCGG
This 254-nucleotide ribosomal RNA is filed under the name uncultured bacterium. Its description in RNAcentral is "partial 16S ribosomal RNA". It matches the Rfam family "Archaeal small subunit ribosomal RNA", at positions 474 to 727 of the family's 1478-position model. The record is from RNAcentral.